GACGAACGCUGGCGGCGUGCUUAACACAUGCAAGUCGAACGGAAAGGCCCUUCUUUUGUGGGGUGCUCGAGUGGCGAACGGGUGAGUAACACGUGAGUAACCUGCCCUUGACUUUGGGAUAACUUCAGGAAACUGGGGCUAAUACCGGAUAGGAGCUCCUGCUGCAUGGUGGGGGUUGGAAAGUCUCGGCGGUUGGGGAUGGACUCGCGGCUUAUCAGCUUGUUGGUGGGGUAGUGGCUUACCAAGGCUUUGACGGGUAGCCGGCCUGAGAGGGUGACCGGCCACAUUGGGACUGCGAGACGGCCCAGACUCCUACGGGAGGCAGCAGUGGGGAAUAUUGCACAAUGGGCGGAAGCCUGAUGCAGCAACGCCGCGUGCGGGAUGACGGCCUUCGGGUUGUAAACCGCUUUCGCCUGUGACGAAGCGUGAGUGACGGUAAUGGGUAAAGAAGCACCGGCUAACUACGUG
This 468-nucleotide ribosomal RNA is filed under the name uncultured bacterium. Its description in RNAcentral is "partial 16S ribosomal RNA". It matches the Rfam family "Bacterial small subunit ribosomal RNA", at positions 28 to 507 of the family's 1533-position model. The record is from RNAcentral.